CCCGCUGAACUUAAGCAUAUCAAUAAGCGGAGGAAAAGAAACCAACAGGGAUUGCCCCAGUAACGGCGAGUGAAGCGGCAACAGCUCAAAUUUGAAAUCUGGCCCCCAGGGUCCGAGUUGUAAUUUGCAGAGGAUGCUUUUGGCAAGGUGCCUUCCGAGUUCCCUGGAACGGGACGCCAUAGAGGGUGAGAGCCCCGUCUGGUUGGAUACCGAGCCUCUGUAAAGCUCCUUCGACGAGUCGAGUAGUUUGGGAAUGCUGCUCUAAAUGGGAGGUAUAUGUCUUCUAAAGCUAAAUAUUGGCCAGAGACCGAUAGCGCACAAGUAGAGUGAUCGAAAGAUGAAAAGCACUUUGAAAAGAGGGUUAAAUAGUACGUGAAAUUGUUGAAAGGGAAGCGCUCAUGACCAGACUUGGGCCCGGUGAAUCAUCCAGCGCUCGUCGCUGGUGCACUUUGCCGGGCUCAGGCCAGCAUCAGUUCGCUCCGGGGGACAAAGGCUCUGGGAAUGUGGCUCCUCCGGGAGUGUUAUAGCCCACUGCGCAAUACCCUGGGGCGGACUGAGGUUCGCGCAUUCGUGCAAGGAUGCUGGCGUAAUGGUCAUCAGUGACCCGUCUUGAAACACGG
RNAcentral lists this ribosomal RNA (620 nucleotides) under uncultured fungus. RNAcentral describes it as "eukaryotic LSU rRNA". It matches the Rfam family "Eukaryotic large subunit ribosomal RNA", at positions 24 to 664 of the family's 3401-position model. The record is from RNAcentral. Lineage: Eukaryota; Fungi.